UAUGAAUUGCCUGAUUAAAAGGAAUAUCUUGAUAGGAUAGAAUAUAAGAAUAAUAUUUCUUAUUCAUAA
Molecule: transfer RNA, 69 nt
Filed under: Azana sp. WQY005
Lineage: Eukaryota; Metazoa; Arthropoda; Insecta; Diptera; Mycetophilidae
Description: tRNA-Ile
Source: RNAcentral